AACGCACCUUGCGCUCCUUGGUAUUCCUUGGAGCAUGCCUGUUUGAGUAUCAUGAAAUUCUCAAAGUCAAUCCUUUUUGUUAAUUCAAUUGGUUUGCUUUGGACUUGGAGGUCUUUGCAGAUGUCGCAGUCUGCUCCUCUUAAAUUUAUUAGCUGGAUCUCAGUAUACACUUGGUUCCACUCAGCGUGAUAAGUAUCAUUCGCUGAGGACACUGUAAAAGGUGGCCAGGAAAUACAGAUGAACCGCUUCUAAUAGUCCAUUUACUUGGACAAUUUACUUUAUGAUCUGAUCUCAAAUCAGGUAGGACUACCCGCUGAACUUAA
Molecule: unclassified non-coding RNA, 323 nt
Filed under: uncultured Ceratobasidiaceae
Lineage: Eukaryota; Fungi; Basidiomycota; Agaricomycetes; Cantharellales; Ceratobasidiaceae
Description: sequence contains ITS2
Source: RNAcentral